UACGUAGGUGGCAAGCGAUACUCGGAAUCACUAGCGUAAAGCGCAGGUAGGCGUUUGGUAAGUCUUUUGUGAAAGCUCCCGGCUUAACUGGGAGAGGUCAAGGGAAACUACCGGACUAGAGUGUGGUAGGGGAUACUGGAAUUCCUGGUGUAGCGGUGAAAUGCGUAGAUAUCCAGGAGGGAAUACCUAUGGCGAAAGCAGGUAUCUGGGCCCAUCACUG
Molecule: ribosomal RNA, 220 nt
Filed under: uncultured bacterium
Lineage: Bacteria
Description: partial 16S ribosomal RNA
Rfam family: Bacterial small subunit ribosomal RNA
Source: RNAcentral